Molecule: non-coding RNA, 1386 nt
Organism: Vicugna pacos (alpaca)
Lineage: Eukaryota; Metazoa; Chordata; Mammalia; Artiodactyla; Camelidae
Source: RefSeq, a predicted model, not a curated record
CAGAAAUCUCAGAGCCAAGUUGAAUGUGACUUGAAACAACUUCCCUUGCCCCCAGGUUUCUGGGGUUCCUGAACAAGGUCUUCUGUCCCUCAGGGUGUUGGAGGCUUCAGGACCAGGAGAAAAAACAAGCUGAAGCCCUCUCAGGAGUAAGGUUGAGAAGCUCUUCAGGCUUGCCUUCUGCAAAUCGUUGGACAGAAACUUUAACUGCAGAUAUGGAGAAACUGUGCUGAGAACCCUGUGAUUCUGAUCAUCCCCAACAUGAAGAAAUGCAUUUGAAGAUCUAUUACUCCGAGGUUCUUUCUGUUCUUGGAAUGUGCCACAUCCAUCCCACCACAGCAUGGCACUGCCUGUUCUCUCUCCCUGGAACAGUGCAUCCAGGGGCACCUACUUCCUGUUACUCAGUCUCGGAUCAACGUCAUUUCCUCUGAAAGCUGCUUCUGACCCCCACGCUAACCUGCUCUCACCCCUUGAGUCUCUAGCACAUCUUGUGUUUUAUUUUCUUCACAUUAUUGAAGACUUUCUGAAAUUAUAUUGCUAAUGCCUUUAAAUGGUUGAUUAUCGGUGUCCCUCCUGUAGAGUGUCAGUUUCGCGAUCACGUGUGUGUUCUUUGCUGCUGCAUCUUUACUGUCUGCUGUCUGUGCCUGGCCCACAGUCAGGUGCUCAGUACAUGAUUAAAUAUGUUGCGGAAACUAAGAACACAGAAAGGGAAAACAGACAGAAAGGAGGUUUGAAUAGAUCUCCGUUAUAUUCAUGGAUAUGCGAUGCAUAGUCUUUCCUCAGUUAUUAAUGAUUUGUGGAUGGAAACAACCUACAAAAGAUUUCAAUUUUAUUUUCCCUUUCCCUGAAUAGGAACACUGCCCAGUGCUGCAAAAUAAGAUUGUGUUUGUCUACACCCAAUUUCCAAGUAGUUUAAAUCCUACUUUUGGUAUUUAUGCCAUGUUGGUUUAGACCUGGCUCCUAGAAAAUACCAGGCAAAUGAAUUAGAGACCCCAAAUAGUUCAUUACAGUUAAGACUUAACAGUUCUUUCUUAAGAUAAUUGGGAUCCAAUGAUAAUAAUUUUCUAAAUCUUUAUGUUAUGUCAACAAGAACUGUUUUUUGAAAGUGGGCUCUGAAUCUGUUGUGUGAACCGGAGCUGCGUAAAUUUAAGCAGUAAGUUCAUCCUUGGUGAGGCGUAGCCUGCUUUAGUCACAAUAGCUGCACUGAGCAGAGGUUGCUGGUAUGAUGAUUAAUUCUGCAAAUAGGUGAAGGGAAUUAAGAUCCUUGUUUCCAGGCUGCUGUCACUAAACCUUGAGUGGUGGUGGUGAAGGGAGUCAGAAGAUGGCUGCUGUCCCCAGUGGAAACACCACUGGAGUAGACCUCUCAAUGCCUCAGCCUUCCUAGUCUGU